RNAcentral lists this ribosomal RNA (1372 nucleotides) under uncultured bacterium. RNAcentral describes it as "bacterial SSU rRNA". It matches the Rfam family "Bacterial small subunit ribosomal RNA", at positions 28 to 1381 of the family's 1533-position model. The record is from RNAcentral.
GAUGAACGCUGGCGGCGUGCCUAAUACAUGCAAGUCGAGCGAACGGACGAGAAGCUUGCUUCUCUGAUGUUAGCGGCGGACGGGUGAGUAACACGUGGAUAACCUACCUAUAAGACUGGGAUAACUUCGGGAAACCGGAGCUAAUACCGGAUAAUAUUUUGAACCGCAUGGUUCAAAAGUGAAAGACGGACUUGCUGUCACUUAUAGAUGGAUCCGCGCUGCAUUAGCUAGUUGGUAAGGUAACGGCUUACCAAGGCAACGAUGCAUAGCCGACCUGAGAGGGUGAUCGGCCACACUGGAACUGAGACACGGUCCAGACUCCUACGGGAGGCAGCAGUAGGGAAUCUUCCGCAAUGGGCGAAAGCCUGACGGAGCAACGUCGCGUGAGUGAUGAAGGUCUUCGGAUCGUAAAACUCUGUUAUUAGGGAAGAACAUAUGUGUAAGUAACUGUGCACAUCUUGACGGUACCUAAUCAGAAAGCCACGGCUAACUACGUGCCAGCAGCCGCGGUAAUACGUAGGUGGCAAGCGUUAUCCGGAAUUAUUGGGCGUAAAGCGCGCGUAGGCGGUUUUUUAAGUCUGAUGUGAAAGCCCACGGCUCAACCGUGGAGGGUCAUUGGAAACUGGAAAACUUGAGUGCGGAAGAGGAAAGUGGAAUUCCAUGUGUAGCGGUGAAAUGCGCAGAGAUAUGGAGGAACACCAGUGGCGAAGGCGACUUUCUGGUCUGUAACUGACGCUGAUGUGCGAAAGCGUGGGGAUCAAACAGGAUUAGAUACCCUGGUAGUCCACGCCGUAAACGAUGAGUGCUAAGUGUUAGGGGGUUUCCGCCCCUUAGUGCUGCAGCUAACGCAUUAAGCACUCCGCCUGGGGAGUACGACCGCAAGGUUGAAACUCAAAGGAAUUGACGGGGACCCGCACAAGCGGUGGAGCAUGUGGUUUAAUUCGAAGCAACGCGAAGAACCUUACCAAAUCUUGACAUCCUUUGACAACUCUAGAGAUAGAGCUUUCCCCUUCGGGGGACAAAGUGACAGGUGGUGCAUGGUUGUCGUCAGCUCGUGUCGUGAGAUGUUGGGUUAAGUCCCGCAACGAGCGCAACCCUUAAGCUUAGUUGCCAUCAUUAAGUUGGGCACUCUAAGUUGACUGCCGGUGACAAACCGGAGGAAGGUGGGGAUGACGUCAAAUCAUCAUGCCCCUUAUGAUUUGGGCUACACACGUGCUACAAUGGACAAUACAAAGGGCAGCGAAACCGUGAGGUCAAGCAAAUCCCAUAAAGUUGUUCUCAGUUCGGAUUGUAGUCUGCAACUCGACUACAUGAAGCUGGAAUCGCUAGUAAUCGUAGAUCAGCAUGCUACGGUGAAUACGUUCCCGAGUCU